ACGCUCGACACCUACUGGAGGCAGCAGUGGGGAAUAUUGCACAAUGGGGGAAACCCUGAUGCAGCGACGCCGCGUGAGUGAAGAAGUAUUUCGGUAUGUAAAGCUCUAUCAGCAGGGAAGAAGAUGACGGUACCUGAGUAAGAAGCCCCGGCUAACUACGUGCCUGCAGCCGCGGUAAUCUGAGCGGGCUGGCAAGGC
RNAcentral lists this ribosomal RNA (198 nucleotides) under uncultured bacterium. Its description in RNAcentral is "partial 16S ribosomal RNA". It matches the Rfam family "Bacterial small subunit ribosomal RNA", at positions 328 to 539 of the family's 1533-position model. The record is from RNAcentral.